Molecule: long non-coding RNA, 412 nt
Organism: Cyprinus carpio carpio
Lineage: Eukaryota; Metazoa; Chordata; Actinopteri; Cypriniformes; Cyprinidae
Source: Ensembl
AAUUAUUUGUUUGCAAUCCGCCAUUAACCAAGAGAAGAAGAAGAAGAAAAAUUCACUUUACAAAAAUGGUAAAGCACAUCUCAGAGUGUCAGCUUCCCAGAAUUGUAGUAAUAUCAAAAUGCUUCAAAAGUUGUAGUAUCAGUAGUACUUCGGUGCUGUUGGUUGUGAGCAGACUGUGAGAGUACCACAUGUGCUGGACAGCAGAGAAAGGAAGCUUAUGAGUGAGAGGGAGAACAUAAGAAAGUCCGCUACUGCAUUUCUUCCACCAGAUCCAGUCUGUAUCCAAGUCAGAGGGUCACUGCAGUCACCCGGAUCCAGUACGUAUCCAGACCAGAUGGUGGAUCAGCACCUAGAAAGGACCUCUACAGCCCUGAUAGACAGCGGAGACCAGGACAACUAGAGCCCCAGAGAC